This 497-nucleotide ribosomal RNA is filed under the name uncultured bacterium. Its description in RNAcentral is "partial 16S ribosomal RNA". It matches the Rfam family "Bacterial small subunit ribosomal RNA", at positions 28 to 507 of the family's 1533-position model. The record is from RNAcentral.
GAUGAACGCUGGCGGCGUGCCUAAUACAUGCAAGUCGAGCGAACGGACGAGAAGCUUGCUUCUCUGAUGUUAGCGGCGGACGGGUGAGUAACACGUGGAUAACCUACCUAUAAGACUGGGAUAACUUCGGGAAACCGGAGCUAAUACCGGAUAAUAUUUUGAACCGCAUGGUUCAAAAGUGAAAGACGGUCUUGCUGUCACUUAUAGAUGGAUCCGCGCUGCAUUAGCUAGUUGGUAAGGUAACGGCUUACCAAGGCAACGAUGCAUAGCCGACCUGAGAGGGUGAUCGGCCACACUGGAACUGAGACACGGUCCAGACUCCUACGGGAGGCAGCAGUAGGGAAUCUGCCGCAAUGGGCGAAAGCCUGACGGAGCAACGCCGCGUGAGUGAUGAAGGUCUUCGGAUCGUAAAACUCUGUUAUUAGGGAAGAACAUAUGUGUAAGUAACUGUGCACAGCUUGACGGUACCUAAUCAGAAAGCCACGGCUAACUACGUG